UUCGUCCAAUUGAAGCAGAGGACAGUGGCGGACGGGUGAGUAACGCGUGAGGAACCUGCCUUGAAGAGGGGGACAACAGUUGGAAACGACUGCUAAUACCGCAUAACAUAGAAGAUUCGCAUGUUUCUUCUAUCAAAGAUUUAUCGCUGAAAGAUGGCCUCGCGUCUGAUUAGCUAGUUGGUGAGGUAACGGCCCACCAAGGCGACGAUCAGUAGCCGGACUGAGAGGUUGAACGGCCACAUUGGGACUGAGAUACGGCCCAGACUCC
Molecule: ribosomal RNA, 268 nt
Filed under: uncultured Oscillibacter sp.
Lineage: Bacteria; Bacillati; Bacillota; Clostridia; Eubacteriales; Oscillospiraceae
Description: partial 16S ribosomal RNA
Rfam family: Bacterial small subunit ribosomal RNA
Source: RNAcentral